Long non-coding RNA from Nilaparvata lugens (brown planthopper), 1724 nucleotides. RefSeq lists it as uncharacterized. The transcript has 2 exons. Lineage: Eukaryota; Metazoa; Arthropoda; Insecta; Hemiptera; Delphacidae. The record is from RefSeq and is a predicted model, not a curated record.
CAUUAUUGUUUGCUUUUUUCAGAUUUCGAAUUUUGACAACGGUGGUUGUUGUUUUUGGCACAGUCGUAGUUAUGAAGCAGUGGCCAGAACUGGCGGAUAUGAGCAAAUAUGUUGUGAACUAUUUCAAAGAAAUUUUCGCUUUCAAGUAGUAAGUUGAAUUGAAUCCUGGAUAUGAUCUCUAGUGAAUGAAUCUCUCUAUGUCUGGUCCGAUUGCUUGAAGCAUCCUUCAGUUGUACUGAAUGCUGAGGUUCGAGGAUUCAACGAGUGCUGAUCGUAUCAUGUCAUCACAUGUCUCAGAAGCUCAUAGUUAUUCAACCGACUAGACUACAUUGUAAAUAUUACCUUACCAAACAAAGACACAUGUGCUCAUAAUUUUAUUUUCAACUGAAUAUUCUCCACCUGUCGAUAAAUGCGCUUAAAAUGUUCUACUUACUACUUACUACUACUGAUUGUCUGAUGUGCUGUGUAAAGUCCACUCAGAGCAUCUCUAUAAUGGCUAAAACAGGGUUUACUGUAUUUUUAAACCAUGUCUGUAUUUCUGUAUUUCCGUCAUUCAAAUCAUCAAAUCAGUCUGCAAGAUCUUUGGUAGUAUGUGAAAUUUAUGUUAGUAUAUUUCUUUAAAUCAUAGACAUUAUUCAUGUAGACUUUCAAUUUUAUUCAAAUAUUGUUUAUUUUAAAUGAAUUGCUCAUGAGAUGCAAAGUUCUCGUUACAUUCAAGUUUUAAUUGCAUAACAUGAUGUGUUAAUUAUUGUGAUAUUGUGAAUUAAAUUUAAUUGUAUUGAAAUGUUAUUUGUAUAUUUUAAGUUAACCUAAUUAGCUGAAAUUAGAUUGAUUUUCUCGCAAAGACUCAUGGUGCCUAUUUUAAAUGAGAAUUGAUGGAAUUUAGAGUUGAUUAGUUGGAGAAUGUUGUAUUGUUUUGUAAAAUAUUCGAUCAUAAACUUCUAUCAUGUUUCUACGCUUUUUUAAUGCUUCCGACUGGAAGUAGAUUCUCCAGGCACAUUGAUUAUGAGACUAAUGCAAAUUUAGAAUAAUAUUGUUAAUAGAUGCUCUCAGACAACACAAGUAAUGCAUUGUCACACAUCGUGUUAGUAACUCGUCAAUCACUCAUAAAUCAUUUUCAUACAUAAAUCUAGCUGUUUGUGGCGGUAAACAAUUUUAUCUGAAUGUUUACAUUUAUUAAAUUCUUAAUUGAAAUAGAACUUGGGCUUAUUGUCGAGCGCUGGCUAUUUGAGACGAGUGAAAGAUGAGCUGUGCUGUAUUUUAUUGUAUUCAUGUAUAUUUUUCCGAAAUAAAUUCACAUAUUUGUGAAUUGGUAACUUUUAAAUGUUUAUGCACAUGUUCAAAUCAAUGACUACAAUCCCUUAUGUUGAUUGGUUAGGCUUAUAGUAAAAAUAUGAAAUUAUAGGGAAGGGCAUUCAAUGUAUAGGAAGGAAAAUGUCCUAUGAUGAUAAUAUGAAUACGUGUUUAAUAUCAUUAAAUUAUUGUGCUAGAGAUAGGUAAAUAAAUAUUUUUAUACUUUAUGUAAGUCCCUUUUUAUUCCUUUGUAUAAUACAUUAUUUACUUUUCUAUUACUUUUUCAAUGUAAAUUUAUAAUGUGUAUGUGUAUCUAUCAAUUUUCAAGGUAAAUGUCACUUUCUCUCUUUGGAAUGAAUAAAUGUUUGAUUUUAUUUGUCAGUUGCUAUAAAAAGUUUAGCUUUUGCAAAUAAAAAUCUUCUACAAGUCAA